This 530-nucleotide long non-coding RNA is filed under the name Androctonus crassicauda. The record is from RNAcentral. Lineage: Eukaryota; Metazoa; Arthropoda; Arachnida; Scorpiones; Buthidae.
AAAAUUUUUAAAGUAACGUUUUUAGAAAUUUUUAGUUAUCAAAAUCAACCACUGAUAAGAGAAGUAUUAUUGUAUUUUAUGGUUAAACAGUGCUAACAGAUGUAAUGUUAUGUAGUCUGUGAUGCAAUACUCAUUUUAUAUAAUUACUGACAUGCAGAUUGGACACUUAUUCAAAAAAUUUUUAUUUACCAUAAAUAAAUUCAAUCAUUGGUAUUACUACAAAAUCUGACAUCCUUUGCUAUGAUGAUGGUGACGAUGAUAAAUAUUAAUUAUUACAAAUUUUUUAUGACAGGUGAAAAUUACGAACCUCAUUCCGAUGGUGAAAACGAAGAGUCUGAUCAUGAGGAGUAAUGAUAUAUUCAUUGAAAUGCCCGCAUCACAUUAUAUGGCAUCAGACCGUGACAAUGGUCAUAAUUUAGAUGUGCCAGGGCCUAGCACAUCAAGGGCAAAUGCAAACAAUGGUGAUAAUCCAGAUAAGCCACCAAGGCGUAAAAAAUCAAGGCCUGAUCCAAGUAAGUAAAUGUUAGAUA